AUUGAACGCUGGCGGCAUGCUUUACACAUGCAAGUCGAACAGCAGCGCGGGCUUCGGCCUGGAGGCGAGUGGCGAACGGGUGAGUAAUGCAUCGGAACGUGCCCAGGAGUUGGGGAUAGCCCGGCGAAAGCCGGAUUAAUACCGCAUACGACCUGAGGGUGAAAGCGGGGGACCGAAAGGCCUCGCGCCAUUGGAGCGGCCGAUGUCGGAUUAGCUAGUUGGUGGGGUAAAGGCUUACCAAGGCGACGAUCCGUAGCUGGUCUGAGAGGACGACCGGCCACACUGGGACUUAGACACGGCCCAGCCUCCUACGGGAGGCAGCAGUGCGGACUUUUGGCCCAUGGGGGCAACCCUGAUCCAGCCACGCCGCGUGCGGGAAGAAGGCCUUCGGGUUGUAAACCGCUUUUGUUCGGGAAGAAAUCCUCUCGGCUAAUCCCCCGGGGGGAUGACGGUCCCGGACGAAUAAGCACCGGCUAACUACGUG
Molecule: ribosomal RNA, 484 nt
Filed under: uncultured bacterium
Lineage: Bacteria
Description: partial 16S ribosomal RNA
Rfam family: Bacterial small subunit ribosomal RNA
Source: RNAcentral